RNAcentral lists this long non-coding RNA (1269 nucleotides) under Sus scrofa (pig). Its description in RNAcentral is "lncRNA (ENSSSCG00070003033.1)". Lineage: Eukaryota; Metazoa; Chordata; Mammalia; Artiodactyla; Suidae. The record is from RNAcentral.
CCUUGCAGCUUAGGGGCAAAGCUUCUGGCUCUUGCUUAUCUCUGAGUUCACCUGCAGUUUCAGAUGAGUUUCCAGUUCUUGGUAACCAAUUCCCACAUUAAAUUCCUUGUUUAAAAUUCUCAAAUUGGUUUCUAACUUCUAGCUAGACCUUGAUGCAACCAGCACCAAGUCCUUUGGUUGUGAGAUCCUUCAAUGGAUGUGAAUGAUUGAAAUAGCUGCUGAGGUACUUUCUGCCAAGGAGUGAUGGUGGAGCAAAGGAACAAAGUGAUUAAUGACAAGACACUGAUUACAGCAAUAGAUCUUGUAUUUCCGGUCCAAUUCAGUAACGCAAUGCCAACACCAUGUAAAACAAGAAAAGAGACAUUGGCACCAUGAAACCACACAAAAUAAAUUCUACUCUAUGUCUCAGUGAUUUAGAAAUCAGGUCUAAGUGUCUUCUAAAACACCUUGCAGAUGUGGUCAUUGCUUAAGACAAUGGUUACAUGACCUAGAGAAUUAUUUUUACAUUGACCAGACUCAGGAACUUAUGAUAAAAAAGGUUUUUUCUCAGAACUAGACUGAUAUUCUUGGAUUCGUGAGUGGUAGAAAAAAAAAUCUCAUUUUUCCCCUUUAUCCUUCAGUGGAACUGUGAGAUUUGAUGACCUGUUUUUAAUCUAAGAAAACCCCUAAAGCAGAAAUCAGAUGUGGUACUCUGAACCUCAAUCCAAUUUCUGUUGGCUCCUAGGCAGCCAUUUGUCGGCUUGUGUAUGUUGUGUGUGUGUGUGUGUGUGUGUGAGAGAGAGAGAGAGAGAACUAACAGCCAGUUUGAGUGAGGUUCUUAAUCAGUUAUUUUAUGUCAUGUGAAUAUAACCUCAUGUGACCUUCUCCCAGCUGCACAAUCUGCAGAAGCAGAUAAGCAUGGCUAAAGAGUUCUUUUGCUUUUUCUGUCCUUGGUGCUAGCCAACUGAGGAAAUCUAAAAACAAUGAUGGAAGGUGUCCUCCCAAAUUCAUACCUUGAAAUCCUAAUACCCAAUGUGAUGAUAUUUGAAGAUGGGGCCUUGGGAAGUAAUUAGGUCCUGAAAAUGGAGCCUUCAUGAUGGGAUUGGUGUCUUUUUAAGAAGAGGCAGGAGAGUUUGCUCCUCUCUCUCUGUCAUGUGAGGAUACAGCAAGAAGGUGACCAUCUGUAAUCCAGAAAGAACACCCUCACCACAGACCAGCUCUCCUGAUGCCUUGAUCUUGGAUUUCCCAGCUUACAGAACUGUGAGAAAUAAAUGUUUGUUGUUUAAGCCA